GAUGAACGCUAGCGGCAGGCUUAAUACAUGCAAGUCGAGGGGCAGCACGGGUAGCAAUACCUGGUGGCGACCGGCAAACGGGUGCGGAACACGUACGCAACUUUCCCAAAACUGGUGAAUAGCCCUCCGAAAGGAGGAUUAAUACACCGUAACAUAAUGAAGUGGCAUCACUUUAUUAUUAUAGCUCCGGCGGUUUUGGAUGGGCGUGCGCCUGAUUAGGUAGUUGGCGGGGUAACGGCCCACCAAGCCUGCGAUCAGUAACUGGUGUGAGAGCACGACCAGUCACACGGGCACUGAGACACGGGCCCGACUCCUACGGGAGGCAGCAGUAAGGAAUAUUGGUCAAUGGACGAAAGUCUGAACCAGCCAUGCCGCGUGAAGGAUGAAGGUCCUCUGGAUUGUAAACUUCUUUUAUCUGGGACGAAAAAGGGAAUUCUUUCUCACUUGACGGUACCAGAGGAAUAAGCACCGGCUAACUCCGUG
This 483-nucleotide ribosomal RNA is filed under the name uncultured bacterium. RNAcentral's name for it is "bacterial SSU rRNA". It matches the Rfam family "Bacterial small subunit ribosomal RNA", at positions 28 to 507 of the family's 1533-position model. The record is from RNAcentral.